AAUUAUGGACUAUAUAUCUCACCGCUCAGUCCGCGUAUCACUACGGGUGGCGUUAUUGGAGCUCGAGAUGGAGGGCAACGCAUUGGACAGACAGUACAAGAAACGGACAUUCCUACAAUUUCAAAUUUUGUAGGGUAAUGUGUUAGCAAAAUUGCAUAGGUAAGUAUUUCAGUCCACAACGAUAAGAUGUGGUGAAUCCGUGCUGCCAUAAUGAAUGUAGACAGAACAAACUCGUAGGGAGAAGGGGCGUGGCGGUGAUUAAACACCUCAUCGUAAGAAUGAAUGUGUUGCUACCAAUUCUGGAGCCUGGAUUGGCCAGCGGGGCCGAAGCGACACGCUCAGGACUGUACAAACUAGUAAAAGCACAACAAAACACAGAGCAAGGCUGAACAUAAGUGCCGCUGGAAAGCCGAGAGAGGCAUGGAGAGCCCCUCAAACAAAACGCAUAUGUAGAAAGUUUCUCGCAACCAAAGCACAGAAAAAUGUAACAAUGUAAGCAAAAGCAUGGCGACGCACGGUGAAGCACAGGCUGCAGAAAUAAAAACGGGGUCUGUUUUUGGAAUCGGCAGCGCAGUUGUUGCGACGGCAACGCCCAGGGUGCAACAACAACAGCGUCUACAGGCAAAGUAGUUCAUUUCAAGGAUGGCAGCUUCUUAAUGAUGCUCUGUUUUCUAUAAGGGUUUCAACCUACAGGCAGUUUCUAAGCAUUUCAAAAUGGCAGGCCGCCCCUCCCCAGGCUAGACCAAGGAGACAGCAGUGUCAAUACGUUUGGGACGUAGUCUCCGACAAAGCAAACUGUAUUUAAUGGAAGAGUGUGCUCAUAAUAAAACACAUCUAUCUGAAAGACCAGAUAUAUUUGUUAA
Long non-coding RNA from Acipenser ruthenus (sterlet), 863 nucleotides. RefSeq lists it as uncharacterized. The transcript is spliced from 2 exons. The record is from RefSeq and is a predicted model, not a curated record. NCBI's taxonomy places the organism in Eukaryota, Metazoa, Chordata, Actinopteri, Acipenseriformes, Acipenseridae.